This is a long non-coding RNA of Phasianus colchicus (ring-necked pheasant), 969 nucleotides long. RefSeq lists it as uncharacterized. The record is from RefSeq and is a predicted model, not a curated record. NCBI's taxonomy places the organism in Eukaryota, Metazoa, Chordata, Aves, Galliformes, Phasianidae.
GCAAUACAGAAUAAUUUACUCCACUAAUGCCAAAUUAAAAUUCAUAACACAAUUCUUUAAUUACCAUCUGAAUCCAAUUCUCAAAGAAGUUUGCCCUAAUUGCAUUGUUGAUAUGCAUGGAUGCAAAUAAGAUGUUGACUGUUUCCCUUGUAGCAAAUGACUCUGUUUCUAAUAUGCACACAUCUAACAACAUGGGGCCAAAUUCAUCCCUGGUAAAAACCCAUUAGAGCCAGCAAAGUUAUAUUGGGAACAAAUCUGAACCACCCUUCUCUGGAAAACUGAUCUAGUUAUCAGCCACUAAAAAUUGCCCCUCCAGUGCCUACAGACAAACGCACUGUCCCUGAGCAAGCCGGUGAAAAUCUCCCAGAAAACCCCCAGCAGGCUAGAAAGACAAAAGUGUGAAAUGGGCACGUGUGGAACAACAUUUGCCAGAAGGUAGCAGGGAUGUAGAAGCCCAGAUGUUCUACUUUGUUUUGUGACAGCACUGAAUAGGGAUCCUAUUCUUAGCCCACAGCACAGGUGUUUCAAAGGAAGAGAGUGAGAACAUCAGGCUGGAGAUUAAAUAAUAUUCACCAAAGAAGGCAGAGAGAGCAUGGGCAUCAUUUGGGCAUUUCUGUCAUCACUGCAUGUUUCUCUCAGGUAAUGUAGGCGUGGAAUCUGGAACCAACAGUGAGGGAAACCAGCGCCAUGAGGGGAUACAAGCUCCACAAACUCCAACUCCACCAGUUAUGAGCAAACUGAACUACUGUGUUAAAAACAAUGAACAAAAACAUUUCUCAGUUACUUGGAGGCCAGAACAGUAGGAAUUCAGCCUUUGAGAGAUCUAUUUUUUCUAUUGAGAAUAAGAGUGAAAUGUUACAUGAGUGCUGGAGAUGCACCUUCAAGCCAAGAAAAUAUUGGGUGCUAAUGGACUCUUCAAGAAGCAAUCUGGGAUCUGAGAACUGAAAGAAGAAAAAAAGUAACGUAAAA